RNAcentral lists this ribosomal RNA (1280 nucleotides) under Selatosomus aeripennis. RNAcentral's name for it is "partial large subunit ribosomal RNA". The stretch from base 851 to 1212 matches the Rfam family "Archaeal large subunit ribosomal RNA", at positions 2151 to 2715 of the family's 2987-position model. The record is from RNAcentral. Lineage: Eukaryota; Metazoa; Arthropoda; Insecta; Coleoptera; Elateridae.
UGGGGAUUAAAUUAUUUAUUUUUUAUUAUGAAAAGAUUCUUUUUUUUGGUAAUUUUUUUGACCAAAGGUUUUUUAAUUAUAGUUUAUUAGUAUAGUGAUUGAAUUUUGAAAUAUUUUUUAUUUGUUUUUAAGAAGAAUUAAAUUUUCGUACCUUGUGUAUCAGGGUUUAUUAAAAAGAAGUUAUUUAGUUAAUUUUCUCGAAUUAAAAAGAGUUAAUUGGCCAUUAAUUUAGUUGUUGAAUAAAUUUUUUUAAUGGCUUAUUAGUAAUGAAACGUUAUUCGUUUUUUAAUAUAUCUAGUUUUUUAAGAAAGGAAUUAAAUUCUUUUAUUUAUUUGGUUAGGGUUUUAUUUUUAACUUUAAUUUAGUGAAUAUAAAAUACUCAAUGGGAUGAGCUUUUGGGUAAAUUUCUAAAAAUUUUUAUUUUUUUUGAAUAUUGGUAUGAUUAGAAUUGUUAAUCUUUAGAAUAAUUUUAUAGUUAAUUUUUUUUGGUACUUGAUUUUUAUUAAUUUUAGUUUUUAUAUUAAAAUGUAGCCGUUAAUUUUUAUUGUUUAUUGAUUAUGAUAAAAUUAGUAAAAUAUUUUGUUGGUUGAUUAGUUUUGUCAGGUUUUCUAAAGGAAUUCGGCAAAUUUACUUUCCGCCUGUUUAUUAAAAACAUGUCCUUUUGAUUAUAAUUUAAGGUUUGAUCUGCUCAAUGAGGAUUUAAAUUGCCGCGGUAUUUUGACCGUGCAAAGGUAGCAUAAUAAUUAGUUUUUUUAUUGAAAGCUGGAAUGAAUGAUUGGACGAGAAAGUUACUGUCUCUAGAUAAAUUGUUUUUGAAUUUAACUUUUGAGUAAAAAGGCUUAAAUUUUUUUUAAAGACGAGAAGACCCUAUAGAGUUUAAUACUAUAGCUAAUUUGGUGUUAUUUGGUUAUUUAAUGUUCUUAUUAUUUAUAGUAUUUGGUUGGGGUGACUAGAAGAUUAAUGAAACUCUUCAAAUUUUAAAUCAUUUAUUUGUGAAUAAUAAAUCUAAAGUUUUUAAAUUUAAGAUAAAUUACCUUAGGGAUAACAGCGUAAUUUCUUUUAGAGUUCUUAUUGAAAAGGAAGUUUGCGACCUCGAUGUUGGAUUAAAAUUAAUUUUUGGUGCAGAAGCUAAAAAAUUGGGUCUGUUCGACCUUUAAAAUUUUACAUGAUCUGAGUUUAAACCGGUGUGAGCCAGGUUGGUUUCUAUCUUAACAAGUUUACAACGUUUUAGUACGAAAGGACCAAAUGUUGAAUAAUUUAUUUUAUUUUUGAAUAUUAUU